AUUGAACGCUGGCGGCAUGCCUUACACAUGCAAGUCGAACGGCAGCACGGGUGCUUGCACCUGGUGGCGAGUGGCGAACGGGUGAGUAAUACAUCGGAACAUGUCCUGUAGUGGGGGAUAGCCCGGCGAAAGCCGGAUUAAUACCGCAUACGAUCUACGGAUGACAGCGGGGGACCUUCUGGCCUCGCGCUAUAGGGUUGGCCGAUGGCUGAUUAGCUAGUUGGUGGGGUAAAGGCCUACCAAGGCCACGAUCAGUAGCUGGUCUGAGAGGACGACCAGCCACACUGGGACUGAGACACGGCCCAGACUCCUACGGGAGGCAGCAGUGGGGAAUUUUGGACAAUGGGCGAAGGCCUGAUCCAGCAAUGCCGCGUGUGUGAAGAAGGCCUUCGGGUUGUAAAGCACUUUUGUCCGGAAAGAAAUCCUUGGUCCUAAUACGGUCGGGGGAUGACGGUACCGGAAGAAUAAGCACCGGCUAACUACGUG
RNAcentral lists this ribosomal RNA (486 nucleotides) under uncultured bacterium. RNAcentral describes it as "partial 16S ribosomal RNA". It matches the Rfam family "Bacterial small subunit ribosomal RNA", at positions 30 to 507 of the family's 1533-position model. The record is from RNAcentral.